RNAcentral lists this ribosomal RNA (253 nucleotides) under uncultured bacterium. Its description in RNAcentral is "partial 16S ribosomal RNA". It matches the Rfam family "Bacterial small subunit ribosomal RNA", at positions 524 to 776 of the family's 1533-position model. The record is from RNAcentral.
UACAGAGGGUGCGAGCGUUAAUCGGAAUUACUGGGCGUAAAGCGCGCGUAGGCGGCUUUUCAAGUCGAUUGUGAAAUCCCCGGGCUUAACCUGGGAACUGCAGUCGAGACUGUCUGGCUAGAGUAUGGGAGAGGGAAGUGGAAUUUCAGGUGUAGCGGUGAAAUGCGUAGAUAUCUGAAGGAACAUCAGUGGCGAAAGCGACUUCCUGGACCAAUACUGACGCUCAUGUGCGAAAGCGUGGGGAGCAAACAGG